GAUGAACGCUGGCGGCGUGCCUAAUACAUGCAAGUCGAGCGAACAGACGAGGAGCUUGCUCCUUUGACGUUAGCGGCGGACGGGUGAGUAACACGUGGGUAACCUACCUAUAAGACUGGGAUAACUUCGGGAAACCGGAGCUAAUACCGGAUAAUAUUUCGAACCGCAUGGUUCUAUAGUGAAAGACGGCUUUGCUGUCACUUAUAGAUGGACCUGCGCCGUAUUAGCUAGUUGGUAAGGUAACGGCUUACCAAGGCAACGAUACGUAGCCGACCUGAGAGGGUGACCGGCCACACUGGAACUGAGACACGGUCCAGACUCCUACGGGAGGCAGCAGUAGGGAAUCUUCCGCAAUGGGCGAAAGCCUGACGGAGCAACGCCGCGUGAGUGAUGAAGGUCUUCGGAUCGUAAAACUCUGUUAUUAGGGAAGAACAAACGUGUAAGUAACUGUGCACGUCUUGACGGUACCUAAUCAGAAAGCCACGGCUAACUACGUG
Molecule: ribosomal RNA, 497 nt
Filed under: uncultured bacterium
Lineage: Bacteria
Description: partial 16S ribosomal RNA
Rfam family: Bacterial small subunit ribosomal RNA
Source: RNAcentral